Molecule: ribosomal RNA, 468 nt
Filed under: uncultured bacterium
Lineage: Bacteria
Description: partial 16S ribosomal RNA
Rfam family: Bacterial small subunit ribosomal RNA
Source: RNAcentral
GACGAACGCUGGCGGCGUGCUUAACACAUGCAAGUCGAACGGAAAGGCCCUGCUUUUGUGGGGUGCUCGAGUGGCGAACGGGUGAGUAACACGUGAGUAACCUGCCCUUGACUUUGGGAUAACUCCAGGAAACUGGGGCUAAUACCGGAUAGGAGCUCCUGCUGCAUGGUGGGGGUUGGAAAGUUUCGGCGGUUGGGGAUGGACUCGCGGCUUAUCAGCUUGUUGGUGGGGUAGUGGCUUACCAAGGCUUUGACGGGUAGCCGGCCUGAGAGGGUGACCGGCCACAUUGGGACUGAGAUACGGCCCAGACUCCUACGGGAGGCAGCAGUGGGGAAUAUUGCACAAUGGGCGGAAGCCUGAUGCAGCAACGCCGUGUGCGGGAUGACGGCCUUCGGGUUGUAAACCGCUUUCGCCUGUGACGAAGCGUGAGUGACGGUAAUGGGUAAAGAAGCACCGGCUAACUACGUG